UUUUCCCCCUCCGUUUUCUUAGGAUCAGCAGAACCACAAGACCAAGCCAAUAUAAAACAAGAGUCAGAUCCAAAUAGCUAAACAUAGCAACGCUCCAAAGGAGCCCAGGAAUCUGUUGAAUAGCCAAGCGGCAGACGGAACGUACGAUAUGGACCAUUUCUUUUCUUUUUUGUACGUUUUUUAGUUAGAAAUGUUUUGUGAAUUGGAUUAUAAAAGGUUUGGUGAUAAAGUGGCGUUGUCUGGAGCCAUGAAAAUCUAUUUUUGUUUUGAAGACAUAAGGUGGAGCAUACUUUUAUAAUCCUAUGUUUGUUGAAUUUAUUUCUGACAAUUUACGUCUUUCCUGGUGGAUAAUGGGAAGCCUUCAAGAUGGAGUGGCACAUAAGAACUUAUCGACCUGGAGAGACUUGCCCUUAACUCAAUGGUGACUUCAUUUUAGAAGAUGUUUUUUCCACCUCUCCUCAGAAUGAUUCUCUGUUUAUAACAACGCAUGUUUUUUUUUUCCUUUUUUUUUAAAUUUCCCUGCAAGCCUUUUCUAAAGACCUCUCCACAAGGCACCGACUACAAAGGAUACCCCAACCAUGUACAUUGUGUUGAAACGACUAUUACAAACUGAUUUUUGCUGGAAUAAAGUGUACUUUAGUAAAACCAUCACCCUUCCCCAUAUAACACUAAGUACAAAUAAACACAUUGUUUUCUAAGAA
Long non-coding RNA from Spea bombifrons (plains spadefoot toad), 701 nucleotides. RefSeq lists it as uncharacterized. Lineage: Eukaryota; Metazoa; Chordata; Amphibia; Anura; Pelobatidae. The transcript has 2 exons. The record is from RefSeq and is a predicted model, not a curated record.